CCCAGCCUGGGAACCCCGAGCCGUGGGGCCGAGGAGAAGGGGAAGCAGUUCUCUCAGCUGGAGGGCGGUGGACUGGCUGGGCUCAAAGAAGGGGCGAAAACAACAAGGCAGAGAUGCCCUGAGAGGAGGAGGAAGGGACCCUGGGCUGGUGCGGCCGUCCGUGUGAAUGCAGCUGAGCUCCUCAAGGCCAAGAGGCAGGAGAGGGAGGAAAUGUCACAGUCUGAGGGCAUACACUGGAGAUAGGGGCCAGCCCGGUGGAGGUGGCUUUGGGGCCCAGGAGAGCAAGGUAAGUCAGGUCCGGGAGCAGUUAGCAAGCCUGAGAGCCGCGUCCACGUCUGUGGCCCGAUCAAGGCAUGGAGGAGACAGAGCUGGGUGCCACUGCUUAGGGCUUGACCUUUCGUGGGCAAAGACUUGCAUGGGAGUCUCCCAAGAGAUUUUAGAUGCUCCGAGUCUGCACCUAGGAGCUCCAUUGGUGGUGCUUGGAUCUGGCUUCGUGCUCUGUGGUUUUGAACGCACAGUCUUCGCGCUGCCCGGGGUCCAGGCGGCGGUGAGCAGUGAGGAGCUGUCUCAAGGCGUGAGUCUCUUCUCAGGCGAUCCCAGAUAAGAGGAAAUGAGAGAGAGGUUUUCUGACUUCCAACUCAUUAGGGACCAGCACUCUUGGAGUUCUGUGGGGUUUGUACAGACAGAACAGCACAGCAGAACCAUUAUCAAGCUUCAGAGACAUUGUGGGGUCUCCUGGCAAAUCAAAAUGUUUUUUAAUGUAUGACAUGUAUGAAGUUGAUGAAAAUUCAUGACUUCUCUCCAUCACGACUGUUUCAGCUGACAAAGAUUUGCUCUUAUCACGGCAAGAGGGGGCACCUGUGGCCCUUAACAAACUCACCCUUCACUCUGCUCCAUAGAAACCACCAGCCUCAGGAUAAAUAUGUUACUUUGGAUAUGCAUGUCACAGUCAAUAAUAAAGAGGCAUGGCAGCUCUACCAUACAGGUUCUGAGGAGUCCCCACAUGCCUUCUUCCCUGCCUGCCAUGGCUUAGCUUGAGGUCUCUCAAGCUAACAUCCUUGAACAUCCUUGAACACAUGUGAGCUCACUUUUUAAAGGGUGAUGCCUGGAAUAUGGGAAAACCCCCAGUCCAAUCGUCAGCAGACUUACUGGUUGCCAUCUUGAUGAAGAGCAACACUACGGAAGUGCACUGAAUGGGGCAGCCCAGCAGACUCGGCCAUUAAAGGGUAAGAAGCCUGAUCCCUUCUCUUGGAGCUACAGACGAUGAAGUCUGCAAAGGCCUGGAACUAGAAAACAGACGCUCAGUGCUAUCCUCAUGCUACAUGCCAUAAAUACACUGUGUGAGGGCGUCAAGCACCCCAGGGGCUUAACACCGGUGUUGGAGGCACUUUACAGAAAAAGAAGUCAAGGCUCAGAAGUUGAGCUCGGUCCUGUUUCUUUUACCAUCACAGCAUGACAGUUUCAUCAUUCUAAUUAAGUUUAAGAUACGACCUCUGAGGCAUAAGGUCUAAGUUCUACUCAGCGUAUGCUGGGCAUGAGAAAUAAUAUUGGACACAUAAUGGGGAAUUUUCUCCUUUGUCCUCAGAGCGGUAGCUUUAGUCUGCUUAGAGUACUCCCACAGGCUCACUCCGCAUUACCUGGUGUCCUACCCGGAGUCACAGGCUUUGGAGACUCACCUGCCACGUUUGGAAUACCAGUGGAGAUCCGAGUCAAAGUGGAAUUUAUACAGCAGCUGGUGCCAGUCAGGGCUAAUGAUGAGACUUCAGCUUAAUAAAAAGACCCCCAACUGAGCACAACCAUCUUGAAGAAAGUAUACUUCUCCAACAGCUUUCAAUCAGUUCAAGAGAGACACCUUAAUUGGGAGGAGGAAGAGCUGCGCGGCAGUCGUCGCCCUGCCAAUCUCAGAUCCAUAGCGUUGCCCCUGCUCUUCCGUACACGUAGCCUCGCCUUCCGUCAACUGCAUCUGCCUCCUCCCCUCCGGAACGGGAUCUUUGUUUCAGCUGAGACUGCUUGGUGAUGCCCCCUUCUGAUUCACCCAUUUGCGCUAGCACCCCUCAGUGAAGUCCAGAUGUGUAAUUAGGAAGCCCAAUGUCUUUAAAAUUAAAACUUCUGUUCCUUGUUAUUGGAAAUAAGUGCUUUUGACAUUUUGUGUUUAAAAAAAAAAAAAAACAUUUUCUUGAAAUAAAGCCAC
Psammomys obesus (fat sand rat) is the source of this 2191-nucleotide long non-coding RNA. RefSeq lists it as uncharacterized. The transcript has 8 exons. The record is from RefSeq and is a predicted model, not a curated record. Lineage: Eukaryota; Metazoa; Chordata; Mammalia; Rodentia; Muridae.